UACGUAGGGCGCGAGCGUUGUCCGGAAUUAUUGGGCGUAAAGAGCUCGUAGGCGGUCUGUCGCGUCGGAUGUGAAAGCCCGGGGCUUAACUCCGGGUCUGCAUUCGAUACGGGCAGGCUAGAGUGUGGUAGGGGAGAUCGGAAUUCCUGGUGUAGCGGUGAAAUGCGCAGAUAUCAGGAGGAACACCGGUGGCGAAGGCGGAUCUCUGGGCCAUUACUGACGCUGAGGAGCGAAAGCGUGGGGAGCGAACAGG
RNAcentral lists this ribosomal RNA (253 nucleotides) under uncultured bacterium. RNAcentral's name for it is "partial 16S ribosomal RNA". It matches the Rfam family "Bacterial small subunit ribosomal RNA", at positions 524 to 776 of the family's 1533-position model. The record is from RNAcentral.